Molecule: unclassified non-coding RNA, 1031 nt
Filed under: Zea mays
Lineage: Eukaryota; Viridiplantae; Streptophyta; Magnoliopsida; Poales; Poaceae
Description: misc RNA Zm00001eb331560
Source: RNAcentral
AAAAUGAGUUCCAUUCCAUCCAACGCAAUCCGUUUAUAUAUAUAACAGGGAAGGUUAGGGCAGGCUUCCGGACUUCCGCUGCGUCUGCGUAUGUUUCCAAUCCAGUUUACCAUGACGAAGGCGAAUUCGAACCCAUGGCAGCCGGCGGCGCUGGACGCCGAAUUCUCGCCGCAGGUGGCCGAGAUGCUCCGUGCGGACCAAGGCCGCAGGGAGCUGUCCUCCCGAGUACGCAGCAGAGACGAGGACCUCAGGACCGCGGUCAAGAAGCACCUGCUGGAGCUGGGGUGGACCAUCGUGUCCAUGCCCAACGCCGCCAUGCUUACCAGGCUCCGCUACAAGGCGCCAGGCGACGGCGGCAAGUCCUACUACUCCCUCCCGGACCUCGUCGUGGAUAGAGCCGCCGCCCCUCACCUCAUCGUCGAUAACGGUAGAGCCGCCGCGGAGGACGGCGACCCUCAGUUUCAACAGCAAUAUGAUAACGAACCUCCGUCUCCCCCGGCACAAACCAAGGACGACAGCAGCAGGGAGCAAGAAGAAGGCGACGAUGAGGAGGAAGACGACAGGGGCUGGGAGCAAGAAAAAGGCAACGAUGACGAAGACGACAGCAUCUGGGAGCAAGAAGAAGGCGACGAUGAGGAGGAAGACGACAGGGACUGGGAGCAAGAAGAAGGCGAUGAUGAGGAAGACGACAGCAGCAGGGAGCAAGAAGAAGGCGACGAUGAGGAGGAAGACGACAGGGACUGGGAGCAAGAUGAAGGCGGCGAUGAGGCGGAGGACGGAGACCAGAAGAAGGACGCCGCCAUUGCCGAGUACAUCGCGCUCAUGGCGACAAACUUUCGGGCCAGUGUACCUAGGGCGUGUUGAAUAAUUAGACAAAUUCCAAAUUAAAUUCCGAAUAUAAAUCAUGACCAAAUCAGAAGAACUGAAAUAAAAGCCAAAUCAGAUGAUGCGUACUGAUUAGACUUACUGAUUGUUGGCGCGCGCCAGGAUCAGCUGGGUCGACGAGGUCAGCAGAUCACGAGCAGUCGCGU